This 233-nucleotide long non-coding RNA is filed under the name Helianthus annuus (common sunflower). Its description in RNAcentral is "sRNA HanXRQr2_Chr09g0399371". Lineage: Eukaryota; Viridiplantae; Streptophyta; Magnoliopsida; Asterales; Asteraceae. The record is from RNAcentral.
AUGCCGUCUCGGGGAGGACUAUAACCAGGGAAUCACAGAGGAAAGCCUUAUAAUAGCAAUGUAACUUAGUGUAAAGCCAAUAGAAGCCAGUUGGAGAGCACUGAAGACUUGGAAAAGUGGCAAUAAAGUUAACUAAAAUAAAAUAGAUGUUUUUAUUAAAUAAAAUAGGAUUUAUUCCUAUAAAAAUGUAUGUACUGCAAAACUUGGGUUUUAUCCCAUAUGUUUAAUAUUAU